CAGCCGCCGCGGGAAUACGAGGGGGGCAAGCGUUGUUCGGAAUUAUUGGGCGUAAAGGGUGCGUAGGCGGUUUGAUAAGUCUUGUGCGAAAUCUCUGGGCUCAACCCAGAGUCUGCACAGGAAACUGUCGGGCUUGAGAGUGGGAGAGGUGAGUGGAAUUUCCGGUGUAGCGGUGAAAUGCGUAGAUAUCGGAAGGAACACCUGUGGCGAAAGCGGCUCACUGGACCAUUUCUGACGCUGAUGCACGAAAGCUAGGGGAGCAAACAGGAUUAGAUACCCCUGUAGUCCCUGUCUCUUAUAC
Molecule: ribosomal RNA, 301 nt
Filed under: uncultured bacterium
Lineage: Bacteria
Description: partial 16S ribosomal RNA
Rfam family: Bacterial small subunit ribosomal RNA
Source: RNAcentral